This 696-nucleotide ribosomal RNA is filed under the name Eucnemidae sp. UPOL 001228. Its description in RNAcentral is "eukaryotic LSU rRNA". It matches the Rfam family "Eukaryotic large subunit ribosomal RNA", at positions 670 to 1259 of the family's 3401-position model. Lineage: Eukaryota; Metazoa; Arthropoda; Insecta; Coleoptera; Eucnemidae. The record is from RNAcentral.
GGAGUCUAGCAUGUGCGCGAGUCAUUGGGUAAGAAAAUUAUUAAUAAACUAAAGGCGAAAUGAAAGUGAAGACGUGCCUUGCGCGCGCGCGUUUAGGGAAGAUGGGCGAUUCCUUUAAACGGAUCGUCCCGCAUUCCCGGGGCGUCUCUUUGUCUCCGCACGUGCUUGUCGCGUGCGCGAGAUGAGGCGCACCCAGAGCGUACACGCUGGGACCCGAAAGAUGGUGAACUAUGCCUGGUCAGGACGAAGUCAGGGGAAACCCUGAUGGAGGUCCGUAGCGAUUCUGACGUGCAAAUCGAUCGUAAGAACUGGGUAUAGGGGCGAAAGACUAAUCGAACCAUCUAGUAGCUGGUUCCUUCCGAAGUUUCCCUCAGGAUAGCUGGUGCUCGUAAUGAAAUAUUAAUAAAAUAAAUAUAUAAAUAAAAAACGAGUCUCAUCCGGUAAAGCGAAUGAUUAGAGGCAUUGGGGUCGAAACGGCCUCAACCUAUUCUCAAACUUUAAAUGGGUGAGAUCUUCGGCUUGCUUAAAUGUGAUGAAGCCGCAAGAUCGGAUCAGAGUGCCAAGUGGGCCAUUUUUGGUAAGCAGAACUGGCGCUGUGGGAUGAACCAAACGUCGAGUUAAAGCGCCUAAAUCGACGCUUAUGGGAUACCAUGAAAGGCGUUGGUAACUUAAGACAGCAGGACGGUGGCCAUGGAA